AUGAAGGAUGAAGCUAAUGAGGUUGUGGAGGCGAUUGCCAAGAAGAUUGUCCAAGACAUGCCCUAUGAGGCGCGCGUUGAUGCUGUGGUGAAGUAUUUCGCGCACGAACGCAAAAUGCUUCUCAAAAAGUCUCUAGCCCGGAGAGUGCAUCUCAUCCGUUCCAUGUACAUGAAGGCGGUUCCCUCGUGGUGCAACAACAAUGUUCCUUGCUACCAGCAAAUCAUAUCCAAAUGGAUAGACCCGAAGUGGAGGGCCCAACAUCGAAUGGCUUCGGAGCGGCGUGCCUUGAUGGGUGGUCCGGUAAACCUUCAAGGCAACCUCAACCUCCACGCUUACGUGCAGAAGAAGAGUAGGGAGAGAGGUGAGGGCCAAGAGAAGCUCAAUACCUUCACGGGAUUAUGUCUCUCCCGCAAGUCAAAGAAGCCGGAAGGGGGGUGGGUCAACCCAGGCGCUGGCUUGAGGAUUGAUGCAUACAGUGGGAAGUUCAAGGAGCACAACGGGCCUGACUCCGAUCCGGCCUCACAGGACAUUGACGCUACAAUUUCCCUCCAGUUGGAAGACGGCAAGAAGGGUGGUCGGUUAUAUGUUGGCGACGGUGCCAUCCGUAAGAAGGACAUCCCAAAACUCUCUCACCUCCGUGCUACCACGUCGAGCUCAGGUCCUGCUAUAGAGCUUCGCCCACAGCCUGGGCUGCACAUGCUCCAUCAACUCGAGGCCAAUGCCAGGCUUCGAGAGGAGGAAGCCAUGAAAAUGCAGCAGGCCCUGUUUCAACAGCAAGAAUUCAUGGUUAAACAACAGGCAAUCCUGCAGGAGACAUUUGCUCAACUCAGAAAUAAUAUGCAGGGUUCCACUUUGCCCGUUCUUCCUCCUCUUCCGACUCUUCCUAAUUUCAACUUUUUUUCUCAGUCGGGACAAGGCUCCAAUAACUGUGUGGUAGGUGGAUCUUCACCUGGCCAAACAAGUCCAGUGACACCCAUUACGGUUCAUGUCUCUUCGACCUCCCCGCAACAAUGA
RNAcentral lists this ribosomal RNA (1014 nucleotides) under Triticum aestivum (bread wheat). RNAcentral describes it as "partial small subunit ribosomal RNA". The record is from RNAcentral. Lineage: Eukaryota; Viridiplantae; Streptophyta; Magnoliopsida; Poales; Poaceae.